AUCGCCGCCAACUUCACUGGCUUCUCUUCACUUUUUUAAAGAACGUGGAGCGAACAUCACCGCGUUGGAAGCAAUAAAAAAAAAAUAAAAAUGUGAAUCUGUGAUUACUAGCCGCUGCGUUGAAGCGCUGGCAAUUGUGAAUUGAAACAAAAUGGCCUCUUACGCACAACACGUGUUUUCUGGCAGAGUCGGAGAGACGAUCGUUCUUUCGACUUGGACUCGGAAUAUAAAUGAGGUCAUCAGCGUGAAAUGUUCAUUGCAACGUCAAUAUCAUGUAUCAAACGUGGCCCACUAACACAGUGUUAAAGAGAUGAAGAAAACCACCAUCGAUUGUCGUCGCGUCAUAUGCCCAAACAAGGAUCUCUCCUUUAAAAAGAUGUAAAGCAGAAUAAAUACGUCAAUGGUUCUUUUAUAAAGUCCAUUAUCCAGAAAGGCUUGGAACCUUGGAUGAACACAAUUUGUCUCUUGUGGAACCAUGAAUAAAUAAAAUUCAAUGUGUUUUUAAAAA
Long non-coding RNA from Drosophila mauritiana, 508 nucleotides. RefSeq lists it as uncharacterized. The transcript has 8 exons. The record is from RefSeq and is a predicted model, not a curated record. Lineage: Eukaryota; Metazoa; Arthropoda; Insecta; Diptera; Drosophilidae.